This 279-nucleotide ribosomal RNA is filed under the name Triticum aestivum (bread wheat). RNAcentral's name for it is "partial small subunit ribosomal RNA". Lineage: Eukaryota; Viridiplantae; Streptophyta; Magnoliopsida; Poales; Poaceae. The record is from RNAcentral.
ACUCAAUCAUGUGCAGAGGGCAACAGCAGGUUGUGCGUCUCUAUCAGAGACUACUACUGUUACAUGCUGCAGACACGGCCUGGAAUCUUCAAUCCCAUACUCUGUGGAGCACGCCUCUUGCAGCAAUGGGCGGUCGACAUGUACGUCAAGAUUGAAAGUUGUCGGUUGAGGUGGUACAGGAAAAACCAGACGCAGAUUCGUGCCGACUUGUAUAAAGGAGUUGUUGAUGCAAUCACAUCGGGGGAGACGCGAGCAAGCGCUGUUGGGGUAAGAAUAGUG